Molecule: ribosomal RNA, 1649 nt
Filed under: Escherichia coli
Lineage: Bacteria; Pseudomonadati; Pseudomonadota; Gammaproteobacteria; Enterobacterales; Enterobacteriaceae
Description: partial 23S ribosomal RNA
Rfam family: Bacterial large subunit ribosomal RNA
Source: RNAcentral
GAUGCGUUGUUGGGUAGGGGAGCGUUCUGUAAGCCUGUGAAGGUGUGCUGUGAGGCAUGCUGGAGGUAUCAGAAGUGCGAAUGCUGACAUAAGUAACGAUAAAGCGGGUGAAAAGCCCGCUCGCCGGAAGACCAAGGGUUCCUGUCCAACGUUAAUCGGGGCAGGGUGAGUCGACCCCUAAGGCGAGGCCGAAAGGCGUAGUCGAUGGGAAACAGGUUAAUAUUCCUGUACUUGGUGUUACUGCGAAGGGGGGACGGAGAAGGCUAUGUUGGCCGGGCGACGGUUGUCCCGGUUUAAGCGUGUAGGCUGGUUUUCCAGGCAAAUCCGGAAAACUAAGGCUGAGGCGUGAUGACGAGGCACUACGGUGCUGAAGCAACAAAUGCCCUGCUUCCAGGAAAAGCCUCUAAGCAUCAGGUAACAUCAAAUCGUACCCCAAACCGACACAGGUGGUCAGGUAGAGAAUACCAAGGCGCUUGAGAGAACUCGGGUGAAGGAACUAGGCAAAAUGGUGCCGUAACUUCGGGAGAAGGCACGCUGAUAUGUAGGUGAAGUCCCUCGCGGAUGGAGCUGAAAUCAGUCGAAGAUACCAGCUGGCUGCAACUGUUUAUUAAAAACACAGCACUGUGCAAACACGAAAGUGGACGUAUACGGUGUGACGCCUGCCCGGUGCCGGAAGGUUAAUUGAUGGGGUCAGCGCAAGCGAAGCUCUUGAUCGAAGCCCCGGUAAACGGCGGCCGUAACUAUAACGGUCCUAAGGUAGCGAAAUUCCUUGUCGGGUAAGUUCCGACCUGCACGAAUGGCGUAAUGAUGGCCAGGCUGUCUCCACCCGAGACUCAGUGAAAUUGAACUCGCUGUGAAGAUGCAGUGUACCCGCGGCAAGACGGAAAGACCCCGUGAACCUUUACUAUAGCUUGACACUGAACAUUGAGCCUUGAUGUGUAGGAUAGGUGGGAGGCUUUGAAGUGUGGACGCCAGUCUGCAUGGAGCCGACCUUGAAAUACCACCCUUUAAUGUUUGAUGUUCUAACGUUGACCCGUAAUCCGGGUUGCGGACAGUGUCUGGUGGGUAGUUUGACUGGGGCGGUCUCCUCCUAAAGAGUAACGGAGGAGCACGAAGGUUGGCUAAUCCUGGUCGGACAUCAGGAGGUUAGUGCAAUGGCAUAAGCCAGCUUGACUGCGAGCGUGACGGCGCGAGCAGGUGCGAAAGCAGGUCAUAGUGAUCCGGUGGUUCUGAAUGGAAGGGCCAUCGCUCAACGGAUAAAAGGUACUCCGGGGAUAACAGGCUGAUACCGCCCAAGAGUUCAUAUCGACGGCGGUGUUUGGCACCUCGAUGUCGGCUCAUCACAUCCUGGGGCUGAAGUAGGUCCCAAGGGUAUGGCUGUUCGCCAUUUAAAGUGGUACGCGAGCUGGGUUUAGAACGUCGUGAGACAGUUCGGUCCCUAUCUGCCGUGGGCGCUGGAGAACUGAGGGGGGCUGCUCCUAGUACGAGAGGACCGGAGUGGACGCAUCACUGGUGUUCGGGUUGUCAUGCCAAUGGCACUGCCCGGUAGCUAAAUGCGGAAGAGAUAAGUGCUGAAAGCAUCUAAGCACGAAACUUGCCCCGAGAUGAGUUCUCCCUGACUCCUUGAGAGUCCUGAAGGAACGUUGAAG